RNAcentral lists this ribosomal RNA (253 nucleotides) under uncultured bacterium. RNAcentral's name for it is "partial 16S ribosomal RNA". It matches the Rfam family "Bacterial small subunit ribosomal RNA", at positions 524 to 776 of the family's 1533-position model. The record is from RNAcentral.
UACGUAGGGGGCGAGCGUUGUCCGGAUUUACUGGGCGUAAAGAGCGUGUAGGCGGCCACGCAGGUCCGUUGUGAAAACUGGAGGCUCAACCUUCAGACGUCGACGGAAACCGCAUGGCUAGAGUCCGGAAGAGGAGAGUGGAAUUCCUGGUGUAGCGGUGAAAUGCGCAGAUAUCAGGAAGAACACCGAUGGCGAAGGCAGCUCUCUGGGACGGUACUGACGCUGAGACGCGAAAGCGUGGGGAGCGAACAGG